RNAcentral lists this ribosomal RNA (512 nucleotides) under uncultured bacterium. RNAcentral describes it as "bacterial SSU rRNA". It matches the Rfam family "Bacterial small subunit ribosomal RNA", at positions 28 to 526 of the family's 1533-position model. The record is from RNAcentral.
GACGAACGCUGGCGGCGUGCUUAACACAUGCAAGUGGAGCGACGAACCAGGGCUUGCCCUGGGGCAAAGCCGCGAACGGGUGAGUAACACGUGGGUAACCUGCCCCGAAGACCGGGACAACCCGAGGAAACUCGGGCUAAUACCGGAUGUGGUUGCUCUUCAUAAGUAGAGCAAGCAAAGGGAGCUUCGGCCCCCGCUUCGGGAUGGGCCCGCGGCCCAUUAGCUUGUUGGUGAGGUAACGGCUCACCAAGGCUUCGAUGGGUAGCUGGUCUGAGAGGACGAUCAGCCACACUGGGACUGAGACACGGCCCAGACUCCUACGGGAGGCAGCAGUGGGGAAUCUUGCGCAAUGGGCGACAGCCUGACGCAGCAACGCCGCGUGAGGGAAGAAGGCUUUCGGGUCGUAAACCUCUUUCAGGAGGGACGAAGCUUCGGGAGUGAAUAGCUCUCCGGAGUGACGGUACUUCCACAAGAAGCCCCGGCUAACUACGUGCCAGCAGCCGCCGUAAGAC